RNAcentral lists this microRNA precursor (100 nucleotides) under Cajanus cajan (pigeon pea). RNAcentral describes it as "miRNA gene-KK1_006915". The stretch from base 11 to 92 matches the Rfam family "MIR164 microRNA precursor family". Lineage: Eukaryota; Viridiplantae; Streptophyta; Magnoliopsida; Fabales; Fabaceae. The record is from RNAcentral.
GAACCCGUGUUGGAGAAGGGGAGCACGUGCAAAGAGUUCAAUGGCGUUUAAGAGAUAAGCCGAGAGAAUUGCACGUGCCCUGCUUCUCCAACAAGGAGCU